UAUCGAUUCUUAAGAUUGAUGUAAAUAUGGCCACCGACAAAUUUCAACCAUCAUCUUUCCUGAUCAAUUCGGAUAAAAUUUACAAAAAAAAAAAAACAAAUGGUAAAAUAGUUUUAGACGUGUUGAUUACAUUGUGCUCACGAAUAUUAUCAUCCUUUAAAAGAUCAAAUAAAAUUAGUCAAUAGCAUAUUAUUAAACCCGACCUUAAUGUUACAAUAUAUAUCCUUACGACCCAAUUUAAAUAUAAAAACACUCCUACAAACUUUAAAGAACACGCUAGCAUAUGCGAGAGAAUAAUAAUCCACUUUAUUCUUGUGAACAAACACUCAGUCUUGUCCUAGGGAUUGUGCCUGCAUAUAAUUCAUAAAAGAGAGAAACACGUAGAAAAAAUGGGGUGAGAUAACAAUUUCAAUGAAUAAAAACAAACACACAAAUAUACAUUCAAAACACAAAACUAUCAAAGGUGUACAUAUAAUUGUACAAGAGGACGUGGUUAGCAAAAGAGCCACACAAUUCUAGGUGAACUUAAGUACAUCACACAUUCACUAAUAUGAUAUUGUUGUUUCUAAAUUCCUCCAACCAUUAAUUUAUUAAGUCAUUUUAAUGCCCAAAUUUGGGUUCCCACUCUUAAUUAGAAAUUUUCACAUAAUAACAGGAGCUACACCAAGGUUUUAUUUUUAAAUUUUAACUAUCAUUAUAUACCUUAAAUUAAAGUGUAAAACUCAAUCAUUUACUCUCAUCAAUUGAAUUCUAUAACUCAAUUAUAAAAGUAAUAAUAUUACGAUGAACUAAGAAAAUGGAAGGAAAUAAUAGCAAAAUAUUAAAAAUAUUAUAAUAGAGAUAUAAGAGUAACAAACAUUAUGAUGGUCUGACUUCUACAAUAACCUUCAAAACAUAUCAUUGUUACAGGAACAGUAGACGGAUAUUUUUUAUAGCAUNNN
RNAcentral lists this long non-coding RNA (941 nucleotides) under Trifolium pratense (red clover). RNAcentral describes it as "long non-coding RNA (TPRA_LNC005009)". Lineage: Eukaryota; Viridiplantae; Streptophyta; Magnoliopsida; Fabales; Fabaceae. The record is from RNAcentral.